Molecule: unclassified non-coding RNA, 727 nt
Filed under: uncultured fungus
Lineage: Eukaryota; Fungi
Description: sequence contains ITS1, 5.8S rRNA gene and ITS2
Rfam family: 5.8S ribosomal RNA (bases 337-490)
Source: RNAcentral
CUUGGUCAUUUAGAGGAAGUAAAAGUCGUAACAAGGUUUCCGUAGGUGAACCUGCGGAAGGAUCAUUACAGUGCCUGCGGGGCGUCGGUUAACCACCGGCGCCGCCGCAACUGGCCACCCGUGUCUGCCUUACCUCCGUUGCUUCGGCGGGCCCGUCCCCAGUGGACCGCCGGGGGAGCGUGCGUACGCGCCCCUAGGAUCUUUCAGCGCAAGCGUACCCACGCCCGCUGGGAGGACUAGGCGCGCGUACGUACGCGCCCCGGGCCAGCGCCCGCCAAGGGACCCUCAAAACUCCUGUGAAGCAGUGCCGUCUGAGUCGAUAUAUAAUCGAAAUAAAACUUUCAACAACGGAUCUCUUGGUUCCGGCAUCGAUGAAGAACGCAGCGAAAUGCGAUAAGUAAUGUGAAUUGCAGAAUUCCGUGAAUCAUCGAAUCUUUGAACGCACAUUGCGCCCUCUGGUAUUCCGGGGGGCAUGCCUGUCCGAGCGUCAUUGCAAACCCUCAAGCUCGGCUUGUGUGAUGGGUCCCGCGUCCGCCUCCCGGGGCGGACGGGCCCGAAACGCAGUGGCGGCGUCGCGGUAAUCCGAUCAGCCAGAGCGUAUGGGGACAUCUCGUCACACGCUCCAGGUGCGGACCGGCGCCCGCCCGAGACCAAAUCUCACAUCAAGGUUUGACCUCGGAUCAGGUAGGGAUACCCGCUGAACUUAAGCAUAUCAAUAAGCGGAGGA